AAACUUUCAACAACGGAUCUCUUGGCUCUCGCAUCGAUGAAGAACGCAGCGAAAUGCGAUAAGUAAUGUGAAUUGCAGAAUUCAGUGAAUCAUCGAAUCUUUGAACGCACCUUGCGCUCUUUGGUAUUCCGAAGAGCAUGCCUGUUUGAGUGUCAUG
Molecule: ribosomal RNA, 157 nt
Filed under: Solicoccozyma aeria
Lineage: Eukaryota; Fungi; Basidiomycota; Tremellomycetes; Filobasidiales; Piskurozymaceae
Description: 5.8S rRNA
Rfam family: 5.8S ribosomal RNA
About the family: 5.8S ribosomal RNA (5.8S rRNA) is a component of the large subunit of the eukaryotic ribosome.
Source: RNAcentral